AUAGCCACUCCCACACACGGCACACACACCUUGCAGAGUGCAGCAGUCAAGCUAUCCUUCUCAAGUCCACAGCUACUCAUCACAAUGUGCAAGUGGUCGUCCGGUUGCGGAUCAAGUUCUACAUUCAACUGCAAGAACUGCGGCACCCAGAUGUGCAAACAAUGCAAACGCAACAUUGCGGAUGGCACACCAACACUGCAAGGCAAUUCUGCUGCAUGUGGCAAGUGCAAGAAGAAUUACUGACCAGCUGAUUGGAGUGCGUUGAGGGCUGAGAAGAUGCUGAGACAGAAUGCCUGCUUGAUGUGCUAGUGAUUGCUGCAAGGAUGGCUGUUGAUGUCGGUUGCACGUUCUUGCUGGGCUGCGCAUUGUGGUUGGUUAGUUGAGUAGUUGAUGGGCUAAUAGAAUGGCAAGCGAGUAGAUGUGUACAAGUGUGUACAUGCAUGUCUGACAUGAGCAAACAU
Molecule: long non-coding RNA, 461 nt
Organism: Corticium candelabrum
Lineage: Eukaryota; Metazoa; Porifera; Homoscleromorpha; Homosclerophorida; Plakinidae
Exons: 3
Source: RefSeq, a predicted model, not a curated record